RNAcentral lists this ribosomal RNA (465 nucleotides) under uncultured bacterium. RNAcentral describes it as "partial 16S ribosomal RNA". It matches the Rfam family "Bacterial small subunit ribosomal RNA", at positions 28 to 507 of the family's 1533-position model. The record is from RNAcentral.
GACGAACGCUGGCGGCGUGCUUAACACAUGCAAGUCGUACGGGAAGGCCCUUUCGGGGGUACACGAGUGGCGAACGGGUGAGUAACACGUGAGUAACCUGCCCACAACUUUGGGAUAACGCUAGGAAACUGGUGCUAAUACUGGAUAUGUGCUCCUGCUGCAUGGUGGGGGUUGGAAAGCUCCGGCGGUUGUGGAUGGACUCGCGGCCUAUCAGCUUGUUGGUGGGGUAGUGGCCUACCAAGGCGGCGACGGGUAGCCGGCCUGAGAGGGUGACCGGCCACAUUGGGACUGAGAUACGGCCCAGACUCCUACGGGAGGCAGCAGUGGGGAAUAUUGCACAAUGGGCGCAAGCCUGAUGCAGCAACGCCGCGUGCGGGAUGACGGCCUUCGGGUUGUAAACCGCUUUCAGCAGGGACGAAGCUUUUUGUGACGGUACCUGCAGAAGAAGCACCGGCUAACUACGUG